This 429-nucleotide ribosomal RNA is filed under the name Gemmatimonadota bacterium. Its description in RNAcentral is "Gemmatimonadetes bacterium partial 16S ribosomal RNA". It matches the Rfam family "Bacterial small subunit ribosomal RNA", at positions 355 to 776 of the family's 1533-position model. The record is from RNAcentral. Lineage: Bacteria; Pseudomonadati; Gemmatimonadota.
UAGGGAAUCUUCGGCAAUGGACGAAAGUCUGACCGAGCAACGCCGCGUGAGUGAAGAAGGCUUUCGGAUCGUAAAACUCUGUUGUUAGAGAAGAACAAGGACGUUAGUAACUGAACGUCCCCUGACGGUAUCUAACCAGAAAGCCACGGCUAACUACGUGCCAGCAGCCGCGGUAAUACGUAGGUGGCAAGCGUUGUCCGGAUUUAUUGGGCGUAAAGCGAGCGCAGGCGGUUUCUUAAGUCUGAUGUGAAAGCCCCCGGCUCAACCGGGGAGGGUCAUUGGAAACUGGGAGACUUGAGUGCAGAAGAGGAGGGUGGAAUUCCAUGUGUAGCGGUGAAAUGCGUAGAUAUAUGGAGGAACACCAGUGGCGAAGGCGGCUCUCUGGUCUGUAACUGACGCUGAGGCUCGAAAGCGUGGGGAGCAAACAGG